UACGUAGGGUGCAAGCGUUGUCCGGAAUUAUUGGGCGUAAAGAGCUCGUAGGCGGUUUGUCGCGUCUGCUGUGAAAACUCGGGGCUUAACCCCGGGCCUGCAGUGGGUACGGGCAGACUAGAGUGCGGUAGGGGAGACUGGAAUUCCUGGUGUAGCGGUGAAAUGCGCAGAUAUCAGGAGGAACACCGGUGGCGAAGGCGGGUCUCUGGGCCGUAACUGACGCUGAGGUACGAAAGCGUGGGGAGCAAACGGG
RNAcentral lists this ribosomal RNA (253 nucleotides) under uncultured bacterium. Its description in RNAcentral is "partial 16S ribosomal RNA". It matches the Rfam family "Bacterial small subunit ribosomal RNA", at positions 524 to 776 of the family's 1533-position model. The record is from RNAcentral.